AAAUGUUUAGGAAUAAUAUUCCAAGCAUUCCUGGAAAGCGAGAGCUCAAAAAAUAUGGUACACACUCAUUUUAUAAUUUUUGGGAAUUAUGUAAUGCUCGCCGCUUAGAAAAAUUACGAAAACUUAUCGGCUUGGAGAAAAUCGUGAAACUUCAUGGACCAAUGGCUCCCGUUCUUAUAAGCACGUGUGCAAAAAAUCAGGGUAAAAUUCAACAUCUAGCCUCAAAAAACCCAGUUUGUCUUCCCAGAGAAAAGGAUGUCCGAUGGUGCAGAGUGGGUUUUUGCAUAUUAGCCUACUAUAGGGGCGCAGCUGCUUGCCUGCCCAUCCACCUUGGUGGGUCAGGAUGGCUUGCCGUGGGGCUCCUCCCAACGCCCCAACAAGAUUCCCCAAGCAUACUGGUGCGUUUGUCCAUGGCAUUUGCCAAGGAUGUUUUCAUUAAUCAAGAACAAAAGUUGGGGGCUCGAAGACGAUAAGAUACCAUCCUUGUCUCAACCAUACACGAUGCCAACCAGGGAUCAACGGAUAAUGCUUUUAGGACUCCACUGACAUUUUAUGAGAAAUCAUAGUCAUUGGGUU
This is a ribosomal RNA of Lupinus angustifolius (narrow-leaved blue lupine), 576 nucleotides long. It matches the Rfam family "Eukaryotic small subunit ribosomal RNA", at positions 622 to 1113 of the family's 1831-position model. The record is from Rfam. Lineage: Eukaryota; Viridiplantae; Streptophyta; Magnoliopsida; Fabales; Fabaceae.